UACGAAGGGGGCUAGCGUUGCUCGGAAUCACUGGGCGUAAAGCGCACGUAGGCGGAUUGUUAAGUCGGGGGUGAAAUCCUGGAGCUCAACUCCAGAACUGCCUUCGAUACUGGCGAUCUUGAGUCCGGGAGAGGUGAGUGGAACUCCGAGUGUAGAGGUGAAAUGCGCAGAUAUCGGGAGGAACACCGGUGGCGAAGGCGGUUCUCUGGGCCUGACCUGACGCUGAGGAGCGAAAGCGUGGGGAGCGAACAGG
RNAcentral lists this ribosomal RNA (253 nucleotides) under uncultured bacterium. RNAcentral describes it as "partial 16S ribosomal RNA". It matches the Rfam family "Bacterial small subunit ribosomal RNA", at positions 524 to 776 of the family's 1533-position model. The record is from RNAcentral.